RNAcentral lists this ribosomal RNA (468 nucleotides) under uncultured bacterium. RNAcentral describes it as "partial 16S ribosomal RNA". It matches the Rfam family "Bacterial small subunit ribosomal RNA", at positions 28 to 507 of the family's 1533-position model. The record is from RNAcentral.
GACGAACGCUGGCGGCGUGCUUAACACAUGCAAGUCGAACGGAAAGGCCCUGCUUUUGUGGGGUGCUCGAGUGGCGAACGGGUGAGUAACACGUGAGUAACCUGCCCUUAACUUUGGGAUAACUUCAGGAAACUGGGGCUAAUACCGGAUAGGAGCUCCUGCUGCAUGGUGGGGGUUGGAAAGUUUCGGCGGUUGUGGAUGGACUCGCGGCUUAUCAGCUUGUUGGUGUGGUAGUGGCUUACCAAGGCUUUGACGGGUAGCCGGCCUGAGAGGGUGACCGGCCACAUUGGGACUGAGAUACGGACCAGACUCGUACGGGAGGUAGCAGUGGGGAAUAUUGCAGAAUGGGCGGAAGCCUGAUGCAGAGACGCCGCGUGCGGGAUAACGGCCUUCGAGUUAUGAACCGAUUUCGCCUGUGACGAGGAGUGAGUGACGGUAAUGGGUAAAGAAGCACCGGCUAACUACGUG